RNAcentral lists this long non-coding RNA (1157 nucleotides) under Apteryx owenii (little spotted kiwi). RNAcentral's name for it is "lncRNA (ENSAOWG00000010961.1)". The record is from RNAcentral. Lineage: Eukaryota; Metazoa; Chordata; Aves; Apterygiformes; Apterygidae.
GAGACCAGGUCAGGGCUCCACGAUCAGCUUCCUGGCUGGUCUCCCUUGGGAGGUGAUCAGGUCAGCGUGCAAAGCAGUGCUCCACUCUUCUCAACAGCUCUCUUCAGAGCAGUUAAUUAAACACAGGAGCCAUUUUACAGCAUUAGCUGCAAUUGUCUCUAGCCUCUGCUUUGUUCCUGGGCACUUGUAACCCAUCGACCUGCAGCAGGUGCCUGGUGCUCUUGGAGUCCCUCUGCAAAGGAGUCACUUCAAGCCCAUCUAAGCAGAUUACAGUACUGGGGGAGUUAAUGCUGAUACUUAAGUGCUUCCUAUCGAUUUUGUGUAGUCUCUUGGCUCUCUGCCAGUGUUCAUAGGCCUGGAGUGGGUUUAUGCUAGGAGACAUAGAUAAAAUAACCUCCUGUGUGUAACAAGCUGGCAAUCUAAUACACAUGAUUUAUAUCAGAUAUAGAGGAAUGGCCCGACAUCCUCAGAGUGUACCAUGUGGGUGCAUCCAGAUCUCUACAAAGAAAGAAGCUGGAAGGAUGAAGGCAGGAACUGGGCCUGUUCCCUAGACCAGCAACAUGAUGCAGAGCCGCUUUGGAUGAUUUCCUCAUUGUCCUUUGGUUGAUUCGCCUAUCCUUUAGGGUUUUUAAAACCAGCAAAAAUCCAUCUGCUCAUGCUGGGAUGCUCCAUGUGACACCAACACAGUGAUCAAAAGCAGCAGUUCUGCCUUCUGUUAGCUGCCUGUAGCGCUUUCCCAGGCUUCGUCUCUUGGUUAGCACUUGAAGGUUCAGCCCCAUGGUCCCUCAUGAAUCUAAGGGCUUUCCUGAUGGGAGUUGGAUUCAUCUGGGCCUCUGUAUGGACCCCUGUCCACCUAGUUUCAAUAGUUGUCUGACUGAGGAGUAAGAAUUGGGCUGGAAGAGCGAGGGCAGUGAUGUGCAGCUGAUCUGCAAGGAAGCCAGCCCUGCGGACUAUGCUUGGGAACACCAGCAAGUGCUGGGGAGAAGGGUCUGCAGUGGUGUGGUGUCCCCUUUGGACAACCGAGUGUCCUCCCUAAGAGCAACCUCCUCUGCAGGGGUGCAGUGUUUUCAAUCUUUACUGAGGGGAAGUAGGAUGAAGAUGAGCCCUAUGGGAGGGCAACGGGGGCAAUAAAGUCUUGGCAAUCUGCCUGGCCUUCA